Long non-coding RNA from Suricata suricatta (meerkat), 1885 nucleotides. RefSeq lists it as uncharacterized. The record is from RefSeq and is a predicted model, not a curated record. The transcript has 2 exons. NCBI's taxonomy places the organism in Eukaryota, Metazoa, Chordata, Mammalia, Carnivora, Herpestidae.
GCAGCCCAGUGGAAGCCGUCGGCUCCGAUCCGUAAUCAAACCCGUGCAGGUGACCCCGCGAGGAGGAGCCAGGCUCUCCAGAGCCUCGGGUUACACACGCCUCAGGCUUCACUGGGGGCCAGGCCCGGGCGAGGUGAUCAGCAGUUCUGAGAUACGCUGGUCAGGCUCCAGGGUCCCCAGAACUCCAGAAGGGGAGGAAACGUCCACCGACGUCUGUGUCCCCCUCCCGCUCCUUGGGUCUUGUCUCCGCUGGCUUAACCUAGAACAAUAAACCUGACCGUCUCCUCCAUGCCGUUCACUCGCUCCUGUGAGCGGGCCGUUGCUGGGGCCAGCGACUCAGUGCCCGCACCUGGCUUCCACCAGAGACCAGCCUCUUCCCCGGGGAGGGACGGUUAGGCUCCUGCACCUCCAGCCCAGGAGCCAGAGGGGAGUCUCCGUCCCUCGCCUACCUGCACACCCCCCUCAGGCUUCCCUGGUCACAGGCAAGCCAGGCCUCCUAGGGAGCGACUUUCCCACCCGAAUGACAGGUGCAGACUCCACUGCCGGUUAAACCAGAAUGCACUGUCAGCUGCUCGAGGCCACCCGGACCCGUAAGUCCUAAAGCCUUGUGUUCACGCAGUGGCACCAUGGUCCAGGCCCCGUGCCAGGCCAGCCCUGUGAUGCCGGGUUAGGUCACAUCAGCGUCAGCGAGCAGGGAUCUGCACGACACCAGCAGGGUCCCCGUUCCCCGCCGCCCGUCCGCUGCCUCUGCCGCUCCUUCCUUUGGUCAUUGCGGCGCCGCCGGGGACCGGACAGUGCCCGGGAGUCAGCCAAGAAUCUGACAGCCAGCCUUCCGGCCACACCGCAGGUGCAGGUCACGGCCGAUGGACGAGGCCACAGUCCUGGUGACACUGAGCUGCUGUCUGGGGGAGGUGAUGGCACGGUCGCUGUGCGUGUCCUCUCCCGGCCUGCCUUGCCCGUCCCGCACAGGGGUGGUCAGACGUUUUUGAAUGACUAAAAUUGUUCUGCAUGAUCGUGAGAUCAUGACCUGGGCCGAAACCAAGAGUCACCCCGAUGCCCCAAGUGUCCCAACUCUUGGUCUCCGCUCAGGUCUGGAUCCGAGGGUUGUGCGUUCAAGCUCCACUCUGGGCAUGAAGCCUACUUUAAAUUUAACCCCCCCAAAAAAAGAAAGAAAAAAAUUAGGACUUGUGGCAUCGGGACCCAAGUGAGCUGGAAGGACUGUGGUUUGGGGUUUCCCCGGAUGCAGUGAGGGAGCCAGAGGAUGGAGGGCAGGGCUGGGGGGUGGGACUCCCAACACCUCCGGGCCCACUGGGGCAGCCUGGGCGCCCUGCCAUCCACCCACAGCACAGCAGCUUAUUCUCCUAAGUGGGUAGUGAUGGCUGCUGCCUUUGGAGGUGAAGCUCCGAUGUGCGCUGGGCAUUUAUUGUAUGCCUACUGCAUGCCCAGUACAGCUAGGUAGAGCUGAGAACCAGCAUCUUAGUGGGGAGAACCGAAAACAAAGGAACUGGGGGCUGCCCCCUCCACCCCACCUCUGUCCGGCCUGCGUCCUGCUGUGGUCCCUCCCCCUCCGGAUGCCUCCUCGAGGAGCCUCCCUCCGCCCUCAGCACCGCUCCAGACUUUCCUCCUUUGCUUCUUUGUCUGCUGCUGCGUCUCCCAACUCCUAGGACUGUGCACUACGUGCAAAUUCCAUCCGGUCUCCGCCAGAGGUUUCUUUGACAACACUCCUGCCUGUGGAAAAACAGCUUGCCCCCAUCUGCCCACUGUUCUGCGCAAACAGCCCGAGAGGCAAAGUGCCUUUUCUCCAGACUCGGCUUUUGAACCGCGUAGACCAUCUGCCCGGUUCCCACAGGAGCUCAAUAAAAAUUCUAACACGUGUCCAUCUUUA